AUGGAGGUAGUACCUGGUAAAAAUGGAUCUCCUCCUUCUGGGGUAGUAACAAUUUCUGGGAUACAGUAUUUUGGAAGGACUUAUUUCGAUCGGGCUUCCCCUAGUCUAGUGUUCCGAAAGGAUUCCAUUUUUGCUAGGAAGGAUCUCUCACUCUCUGGGUCGGGCUUCUCUUCCCUGCAACUUUUUCUUGGCAAUCCUUCCUCCUCGCAGGCUCGCCCACACCACACCAUCCACCGCCUCUGCCUCCGCCUUCACCCCCCGCUCCGGAAAGGCGCGGCUGCUGGUCUCUCUAGGGUUCGUCGGCCCGGCGCGGGGGACCCGUGCUUCUGCUUCCGCUUCCGCUUCCGCACCGAGAGUAUGGCUGGAAGGCACACCAUUGUUCUCGUGCAACCAUCUCCAAACAAAGCGUCCAGAACUUUUAUGGACUUCAGUUCACUCAACCAAGCACUGGACGGUAUCUGUGCUCGUUAUGAAAAGAAAAUCAUGGAUAUCAACCCGAUGGCCAGGAACUUCACUUAUGACAUCACCGACCUGUACAAUUUCAUCGAUGGACUAGCGGACAUCAGUGCCCUAGUGUAUGAUCAUCAACUUCAAGCUUUUCUGCCAUAUGACAGGCAGUGGAUAAAACAGAAGAUGUUCCAGCACCUCAAGAACCAGGCACGGCAGUAG
RNAcentral lists this ribosomal RNA (669 nucleotides) under Triticum aestivum (bread wheat). RNAcentral's name for it is "partial small subunit ribosomal RNA". Lineage: Eukaryota; Viridiplantae; Streptophyta; Magnoliopsida; Poales; Poaceae. The record is from RNAcentral.